UACGGAGGGUGCAAGCGUUAUCCGGAUUCACUGGGUUUAAAGGGUGCGUAGGUGGGCAGGUAAGUCAGUGGUGAAAUCUCCGGGCUUAACCCGGAAACUGCCGUUGAUACUAUCUGUCUUGAAUGUAGUGGAGGUGAGCGGAAUAUGUCAUGUAGCGGUGAAAUGCUUAGAUAUGACAUAGAACACCAAUUGCGAAGGCAGCUCGCUACACGAAUAUUGACUCUGAGGCACGAAAGCGUGGGGAUCAAACAGG
This 253-nucleotide ribosomal RNA is filed under the name uncultured bacterium. Its description in RNAcentral is "partial 16S ribosomal RNA". It matches the Rfam family "Bacterial small subunit ribosomal RNA", at positions 524 to 776 of the family's 1533-position model. The record is from RNAcentral.